This 685-nucleotide long non-coding RNA is filed under the name Mytilus galloprovincialis (Mediterranean mussel). Lineage: Eukaryota; Metazoa; Mollusca; Bivalvia; Mytilida; Mytilidae. The record is from RNAcentral.
CAUUCAUCAGUAAUGGUUCUUGUGAUAUUGCAGGACACAAAUAAAUAUUAAUAAAUCCGGUUUGCUGUCGUUGUGACAGCCUCUUGUUCUUACAUUCUUUGAGGCAAUAUUGUAAAAUCUGAGGGAUUUCAAGGUAAAACUUUUUUUUUUUUUUUUGCUAGUGUUUGCUAAAUGUAUCCCUCAUUUUGGGUCGAAAAAGAUUUUAAUUCUGGGGUACAGAGGGUACGAGAAAUACCACAAAGGACCUACUUAGUGCACUUAGACCUGAAUUAGUAUAAGGGACCUGAUGGAAUGAUACGAUUGUCACAAAGGACAUACCAUAUAGAAGUAGACUUUGUAAUAAUACAUAAUUUCAAACUGUAUAAUCAUAUCUUUAGUAAUUAGAAAGUGAUUGAAUGUUUUAUUAACACUCACCAAACUCAGUUGAUUGUCACUUACAAAUGUGUGUAUUGAUAGAAAUUUAUGUUUGUUCAAUCUUGACUUGUCUAGAAUCUGCUUGUAUACUGUUUAAACAUGUAUUAGUAUGUGGUAUUUUAAAUGGUUCAAUUUUUUUGUUUGUUUGUUACUGCCAUAUUUAUAUAUUUUGUAUUUCUGUCUGUUAUAUUUUAAACUUCUAUGUGAUUGUGUAUUUCUACUUUGUUUUUGUUCUUUUUUGUUUUGUUUGCUUGUUUGUUUAGAUCAUUUU